CCAUACCAUUAAACUACCUUCCAAGAAAAGGUAUAUCAUUCUCUGUCUGCUGAACAUUUUAGUUCAUCUUGACAUCCCUUUGUGAGCUCUACAUUUUACCAAUGACUUAUAAAUAAAGUCUUCCAAUGAUAGCAAUUAUAAAACAU
Long non-coding RNA from Strigops habroptila (Kakapo), 146 nucleotides. RefSeq lists it as uncharacterized. The transcript has 3 exons. The record is from RefSeq and is a predicted model, not a curated record. Lineage: Eukaryota; Metazoa; Chordata; Aves; Psittaciformes; Psittacidae.